UGAGUAACCUGCCCUUAACUCUGGGAUAAGCCUGGGAAACUGGGUCUAAUACCGGAUAUGACUCCUCAUCGCAUGGUGGGGGGUGGAAAGCUUUUUUGUGGUUUUGGAUGGACUCGCGGCCUAUCAGCUUGUUGGUGAGGUAAUGGCUCACCAAGGCGACGACGGGUAGCCGGCCUGAGAGGGUGACCCGGCCACACGUGGGACUGAGACACGGCCCAGACUCCGUACGGGAGGCAG
RNAcentral lists this ribosomal RNA (237 nucleotides) under uncultured bacterium. RNAcentral describes it as "partial 16S ribosomal RNA". It matches the Rfam family "Bacterial small subunit ribosomal RNA", at positions 118 to 351 of the family's 1533-position model. The record is from RNAcentral.